Molecule: non-coding RNA, 552 nt
Organism: Pimephales promelas (fathead minnow)
Lineage: Eukaryota; Metazoa; Chordata; Actinopteri; Cypriniformes; Leuciscidae
Source: RefSeq, a predicted model, not a curated record
AACUUAGUUAUUGCAUGAUAGGUUUGAUUAAGUUAGUUACAACAGUUUCAUGCACUGCUGGCUUCCACUGGUUUGAUUAUUUACUGUUUCAGGCCAAGAAAAAGUUACAAGCUCGCUCGGAGCGUUCAAUAUCGUUUCUCUAUAGCUACUGCAAAACUUGAAUUAAUGUUAGUGCUAAUAAUAUUUAUUUCAAUCACCGAAUGAAGCCAGCUAACGUUAUGGGACAAGCGUCGCGACCUUAAAUUGCUUGCACAAAACUCUUGAUCAGCACAAAACAUUUAUUUAUUGUUGUUUUUUGUUUAUACCGUUAUGCAGAGAGUGAUGAGGGUGAACACGAGAGAAAAAGAGUGAGUGCGAGCGAGCGAGCAAGGUCUGCUCUGUGUGAGCUGACCGAAUUAUUAUCCAGGAGAAGCUGCCAGAUGCCGUAGACAACAGGAGUCAGAACAUCAUAGUACUUCAAACAGCAGAAUACACCAGGAGUGGGAAAGGUUCUGGAUGCUUAUGUCUGAUGUGGUGACCAUACACCUCCAUUAUAUGACUGGCAGAAUGAUG